Molecule: ribosomal RNA, 449 nt
Filed under: uncultured bacterium
Lineage: Bacteria
Description: bacterial SSU rRNA
Rfam family: Bacterial small subunit ribosomal RNA
Source: RNAcentral
UUUCCAGACUCCUACGGGAGGCAGCAGUGGGGGAUAUUGCACAAUGGGGGAAACCCUGAUGCAGCGAAGCCGCGUGGGCGAAGAAGUAUUUCGGUAUGUAAAGCCCUAUCAGCAGGGAAGAAGAAAUGACGGUACCUGAGUAAGAAGCACCGGCUAAAUACGUGCCAGCAGCCGCGGUAAUACGUAUGGGGCAAGCGUUAUCCGGAUUUACUGGGUGUAAAGGGAGCGUAGACGGCCAGACAAGUCAGAAGUGAAAGCCCAGGGCUCAACUCUGGGACUGCUUUUGAAACUGCCGGGCUGGAGUGCAGGAGAGGUAAGCGGAAUUCCUAGUGUAGCGGUGAAAUGCGUAGAUAUUAGGAGGAACACCAGUGGCGAAGGCGGCUUACUGGACUGUAACUGACGUUGAGGCUCGAAAGCGUGGGGAGCAAACAGGAUUAGAUACCCGAGUA